UCUGUUUUUCUGCUGUUUGUCAAAGCUUCAGUGAAAAAUUAAUGCUUAUUAAAUAAAUAUUUUUAUCAUUCAGAGAAAGUUGGAGUUACUCUGAACCCGAAAAGAUGAAUCAUUCAGACAGCUGCACUGAGGGCGAAGAUGAUGUUUUCGAAUCUCAACACGAACAGUCGAAAAGGUCAGAGGUCACCACCAAGGCAGCGGCAGGGGUGAUUCUCUGUGUUGUCCUGGCGACUGCCAUCUUUUUGAUUUUCUACUUCUCUUGAUUGACUGGAACAACAAAGAGGGGAACAUCCUGUCAGGGUGGAGGUCAAAGGUGGAGCUCCUGACCUGAAGAAACAGCCUAACUGGACCGUUUGUCUGUGUCUGACAUUCA
Molecule: long non-coding RNA, 373 nt
Organism: Archocentrus centrarchus (flier cichlid)
Lineage: Eukaryota; Metazoa; Chordata; Actinopteri; Cichliformes; Cichlidae
Exons: 3
Source: RefSeq, a predicted model, not a curated record